This 494-nucleotide ribosomal RNA is filed under the name uncultured bacterium. RNAcentral describes it as "partial 16S ribosomal RNA". It matches the Rfam family "Bacterial small subunit ribosomal RNA", at positions 28 to 507 of the family's 1533-position model. The record is from RNAcentral.
GACGAACGCUGGCGGCGUGCUUAACACAUGCAAGUCGAACGGUGAAGCGCCUUCCUUUUUGGUGGGUGUGGAUGAGUGGCGAACGGGUGAGUAACACGUGAGUAACCUGCCCCCAUCUUCUGGAUAACCGCGUGAAAGUGUGGCUAAUACGGGAUAUUCUGGGUCUGUCGCAUGAUGGGUCUGGGAAAGAUAUUGUUUCGGUGGGGGAUGGGCUCGCGGCCUAUCAGCUUGUUGGUGGGGUGAUGGCCUACCAAGGCGGUGACGGGUAGCCGGCCUGAGAGGGUGGACGGUCACACUGGGACUGAGACACGGCCCAGACUCCUACGGGAGGCAGCAGUGGGGAAUAUUGCACAAUGGGCGCAAGCCUGAUGCAGCGACGCCGCGGGAGGGAUGGAGGCCUUCGGGUUGUGAACCUCUUUCGCCAGUGAAGCAGGCCUGCCUCGUUUGUGGGUGGGUUGACGGUAGCUGGAUAAGAAGCGCCGGCUAACUACGUG